RNAcentral lists this long non-coding RNA (805 nucleotides) under Hordeum vulgare. Its description in RNAcentral is "long non-coding RNA (HVUL_LNC002069)". The record is from RNAcentral. Lineage: Eukaryota; Viridiplantae; Streptophyta; Magnoliopsida; Poales; Poaceae.
UGACCCCCGUCCAACUAUCAUCGACUAGCACCACAUCGUCCGCAAAGAGCAUACACCAUGGGAUACCUCCUUGUAUAUCCCUUGUGACCUCAUACAUCACCAAGGCAAAAAGAUAAGGGCUCAAAGCCGACCCUGGUGCAAUCCUAUUUUAAUCGGGAAGUCAUCGCUAUCACCAUCACUUGUUCGAACACUUGUCACAACAUUUUCGUACAUUCCUUGAUGAGGGUAAUGUACUUUGCUGGGACUUUGUGUGUCUCCAAGGCCCACCACAUGACAUUCCGCGCGGUAUCUUAUCAUAGGCCUUCUCCAAAUCAAUGAACACCAUAUGCAUGUCCUUAUUUUGCUCCCUGUAUCUCUCCAUAAGUUGUCGUACCAAGAAAAUGGCUUCCAUGGUCGACCUCCCAGGCAUGAAACCAAACUCAUUUUGGUCACGCUUGUCACUCUUCUUAGACGGUGCUCAAUGACUCUCUAACAUAGCUUCAUUAUAUGACUCAUCGGCUUAAUUCCACAGUAAUUAGUACAACUUUGAACAUCCCCUUUGUUCUUGAAGAUUUGUACUAAUAUACUCCAUUCUUCUAGAAUCUUUUUUGCCCGAAAUAUGAGGUUGAAAAGCUUGGUUAACCAUACUAGCGCUAUGUCCCCGAGGCCUCUUCAUACCUCAAUGGGGAUACAAUCGGGGCCCAUCGCCUUCCCUCCUUUCAUCCUUCUUAAAGCCUCCUUGACCUCCGACUCCUGGAUACGCCGCACAAAAUGCCUGCUAGUAUCAUCAAAGGAGUCGUCUAGUUUAAUGGUAGAGCUCUCACUC